GAUGAACGCUAGCUACAGGCUUAACACAUGCAAGUCGAGGGGUAACAAGAGGAAAGCUUGCUUUCUUUGUUGACGACCGGCGCACGGGUGAGUAACGCGUAUCCAACCUGCCUAUAACUAGGGAAUAGCCUUGCGAAAGUAAGACUAAUACCCUAUGAUUUCCUUUGAUGACAUCAGAUUAGGAAUAAAGAUUUAUCGGUUAUAGAUGGGGAUGCGUCUGAUUAGCUUGUUGGCGGGGUAACGGCCCACCAAGGCAACGAUCAGUAGGGGUUCGGAGAGGAAGGUCCCCCACAUUGGAAAUGAGACACGGUCCAAACCCCUACGGGAGGCAGCAGUGAGGGAUGUUGGUCAAUGGGCGGAAGCCUGAACCAGCCAAGUAGCGUGCAGGAUGGCGGCCCUAUGGGUUGUAAACUGCUUUUAUACAGGAAUAAAGUUAGCCACGUGUGGUUAUUUGUAGGUACUGUAUGAAUAAGGACCGGCUAAUUCCGUGCCAGCCGCCGCGGUAA
Molecule: ribosomal RNA, 506 nt
Filed under: uncultured bacterium
Lineage: Bacteria
Description: partial 16S ribosomal RNA
Rfam family: Bacterial small subunit ribosomal RNA
Source: RNAcentral